Non-coding RNA from Schizosaccharomyces pombe (fission yeast), 214 nucleotides. Lineage: Eukaryota; Fungi; Ascomycota; Schizosaccharomycetes; Schizosaccharomycetales; Schizosaccharomycetaceae. The record is from the annotation of a GenBank genome assembly.
AUUAUAGAUAAACUAGUAAGCUUUACUUGAUACCUUAUCCUCGAUAAACAGAUACACCUUUUCUACAAAUAUUUUUUUUGACAAGCAUUGAGCCUCAGUUCAAAUGUCACCAUAUUUGCAUUUAAUUAGAUAAAGAAUACUAAGCAGGAUUGAUUGUGUUCCAAAAGCCAAUACACUCAGCGAUAACUAAUGUAAAGUUAAUAUGUAAAUUUCG